UUAUUUACUAAUUAACUAGAAAUAAUAAAUCAUUUGAUUUCUAAUAAAUAUUUAGUUAUUAUUUAUAAUUAACUAAAUAAUUAAAAAUUAAUUUUUUAUUUAUAUUAGUUAACCAAUUAAUAUUUUGGUCAAUCUAACUAAUUAAAUAAUUAAGUAAUUAAUUUAUUAUUAAUUUCUUAAUUGAUUAAUUUAUUAAAUUAAUAUUGAUUUAUUAAUUUAUCAAAUUAUUUAUGGAUAGUUAAUUUAUUAAUUAGCAGCACUCGUGGUUAAUUAAUUAAUAGUAAAUUUGACGUUUUAAUUAUUUAUUGAUUAACAUUUAUAGUUAUCUAGAAGUAUUCAUGGUUAAUUAAUUAAUUAAAUAAUUUGAUUAUAAUUAAUUAGAUAAUAUAUUAUUAUUUGAAAUUAUAAUUACUUUUAUUAUUCAUACUAUUUCUCUCUAACUAUACAGGCAUUAUUUUUCUUAUUCCCGGAAGCAGCUUAAUUUUUAUCUUAUCCCUGAAGUUGUAUCCAUAUCAGGAAUAACAAAAAAUAUCUUACUCCUGAACCAAAUGAUAUCUAAUUUACUAUCAAUAAUAUUUUAACUUACCGAAUGUUCCUAACACAAAUGGCAAAAAGCUUGAUAGUUGGUAUCCGAGAUCCCAAGUAAAAAAUAAUACUAUAGCUUAAUUCGUUAAUAUUGAUAUAUACAUAACAAUAUUUCUAUAUAAACCGAUAAAUCGAUAUUAUACAUUUUUAAAUAAAUAUAAAUACAUACAGAUACAAAU
This 764-nucleotide long non-coding RNA is filed under the name Ananas comosus (pineapple). RNAcentral's name for it is "long non-coding RNA (ACOM_LNC026000)". Lineage: Eukaryota; Viridiplantae; Streptophyta; Magnoliopsida; Poales; Bromeliaceae. The record is from RNAcentral.